CCUACGGUGCGCUGCAGUGGGGAAUAUUGGACAAUGGGCGAAAGCCUGAUCCAGCCAUGCCGCGUGUGUGAAGAAGGCCUUCGGGUUGUAAAGCACUUUCAGUGGGGAAGAAAGCCUUGGGGCUAAUACCCUCGAGGAAGGACAUCACCCACAGAAGAAGCACCGGCUAACUCCGUGCCAGCAGCCGCGGUAAUACGGAGGGUGCGAGCGUUAAUCGGAAUUACUGGGCGUAAAGCGCGCGUAGGCGGUCUGAUAAGCCGGUUGUGAAAGCCCCGGGCUCAACCUGGGAACGGCAUCCGGAACUGUCAGGCUAGAGUGCAGGAGAGGAAGGUAGAAUUCCCGGUGUAGCGGUGAAAUGCGUAGAGAUCGGGAGGAAUACCAGUGGCGAAGGCGGCCUUCUGGACUGACACUGACGCUGAGGUGCGAAAGCGUGGGUAGCAAACAGGAUUAGAUACCCUGGUAGUC
Molecule: ribosomal RNA, 465 nt
Filed under: Vreelandella stevensii
Lineage: Bacteria; Pseudomonadati; Pseudomonadota; Gammaproteobacteria; Oceanospirillales; Halomonadaceae
Description: partial 16S ribosomal RNA
Rfam family: Bacterial small subunit ribosomal RNA
Source: RNAcentral